Molecule: transfer RNA, 69 nt
Filed under: Loxodonta africana (African savanna elephant)
Lineage: Eukaryota; Metazoa; Chordata; Mammalia; Proboscidea; Elephantidae
Rfam family: tRNA
About the family: Transfer RNA (tRNA) molecules are approximately 80 nucleotides in length. Their secondary structure includes four short double-helical elements and three loops (D, anti-codon, and T loops).
Source: Rfam by way of RNAcentral
GGUUUAGUGGCACAACGGUUAAGCACUCGGCUAUUAACCGAAAUGUUGGUGGUUCGAACCCACCAGCCA